Long non-coding RNA from Choloepus didactylus (southern two-toed sloth), 5413 nucleotides. RefSeq lists it as uncharacterized. The record is from RefSeq and is a predicted model, not a curated record. Lineage: Eukaryota; Metazoa; Chordata; Mammalia; Pilosa; Megalonychidae. The transcript is spliced from 7 exons.
GGCCCCCGGCUCUCUUUCGGCGGGGCUGAGGAGAGGGGGCUCGCGGCGCCCAGAGCUCGGGUCCUGGCCAGGCUCCCCGGCAACCGGCCCCCGCAAGUUCCCGCGGCCGCGGCGCGCCGGCGGCGGCCCCCUUUGUUUAAGUUCUCGGAUGCCACCAUCGGGGAGCCCUGCAGCCCUGGUCGGCGCCGUGGCCGCGCGGACGCGACGGACCGCUCCCUGCGGCUGCUCGCGCUCUCCCCCAACCCCUUCUCUCCCUCUCCCUCUCUCUCCCUCCCUUCCUCCCUCCCUCCCUCCCUCCUCUGGGAUUCAGACAAGUAUCGUGCGUGCCCUUGCGAGUUUGGAGGGUGCCGGCCAGCGGGAGCCACACGAUGUAUUCGAAAAACCACCAGCCCGACCUUUCCCCGAUAGAUACAUGAUAAUAACUGCAGUUGAAGGAUAGAUGCUUGAUGUCCCCCUCUGCCAGUUGGUGUUUGUCAGAGGACAGCCAAGGAAGAGGGGCAAAUUGCCUGCAUAUAUGUGUUAAUCAAGAGAUUUCAGGACCCUGCCUUCAAAAGGAAGUGUUAAAAGAAGGUUUUGACAUUAAGACUUUUCUCAGAGUUGAUGUAGUCCAAGGGCGGGCUAAAACAACGGACUGCAGGCUAAAUCUGACCUCCCGCCUGGGUUGGUAAAUAAAGUUUUAUUAGAAUGCAGCCACGCCUAUCUGUUUAUGUGUUGUCCACAGCUGCUAUUGCACUACAACCUCAAAUAGUUGUGAAAGGGACCAAAUGGGCUGCAAAGCUUAAAAUAUUUACUGUCUGGUCCUUCAUAGGAACAUUUUGCUGAACACUGAUGUAAUCCUUCUAAUUCAUUGAAUAUCUAUUAAACAUUUACUGCAUGCUGAGAAAAAUAUUCAUGGGAAUUUUUCUAGUGGCACUCUUUUGAAGAAAUGCUGAAGGCCUUUGGCGAUGUCCUGGAUUUUUAGGUGUUUAGGACUGGUGGUAUGACCAGCAGGGAGUGAGAAGGAUUUAGGGCAAGAAAUCAUGUUUGUUGAGCACGUUCUGCUAUUAUCAUCUCGAUGACAAGUCAUUCAUCAUGGCCCUGCCCUUCCUCCCUCUGCUGCCUGGAGAGCGUGCAGAUACAGCUGGAACUUCUGACUCGGCGUGCAUUUUAGUAACUAUUUCAAGACCCCAUAGUCAGCAUCGUGGACUUCUGCUUCCAGACCAGAAGAUGGCUAUCCUUUGCCACCAGUUGGUUGGGAGGAUCAAGUGAGAGAAUGGGAAGUUUGCCAAUAUUUCCCUCAAAUUCAAUGUUGCUGGCUGCUUGUUCUCUGGAGGUUGAGUCUUUGAACCUGAAAGUCAUAUAACUUUCUGAAACACAGGUGCCAGUGAAGUUGCCUGAUGAAAUAAACAUCCUUCCAGAAUCUUCCAUUGAACAGUUGUCACUGUAAGACCUCUGAGAGGUUCAGUAGAAAGUGCCGACUCAUCUACUCACCCCCACAAGGUCCCACAGAAGAAAAAAUGCUUAGGAGUUCUCAAUUGUGUCUCAACUGUGUACUAAGCUUCGCUGGAACAGAAGUCUGCCAUUUAUUAGGCUGAGAGGCAGCUUAGUUUCUUGAUUAAAAAUAUUUGAACAAGAAGCUGGACAAAUCAGUGUUAACAUCUGCUCCCAGACGAAUGCAACUUUAACGUACCAGCUCUCUCUUCUCGCCUACCCGAUCUUCCCCCACCGCAGCAAAAAUUAAUGUCCCCCUUUUCUGGGCUUUCAAAGAAUAUGUUCUCAUGUCUGUUAUGGUAUUUAUUUCAAUGUGUAUUCUAUUUAUUUGUUUAAAUGUCUGACUCCCCUCCUCCUGUUGCUAAUAGGGUGAGUCUAUAAGCUUAUUAAACAUGAGGACUGGGUUUUUUCUUUUCUUUUUUUUUUUUCCAUCAGAGCUCAGUUUGACCCUGGUUGGUGCUUAAUAAAAGUACCCAUAAAAUGUAUAAAUCCUCUAUUUCUGGAACUUAUCUUCAGACUUAAAUGCACAGCCUCAUAUUUAUUCCUAAUGCAUUUUACCUUUCGAGCCUCAACUUCCCAGUGGUGUUUAUUAUUACUUUGUCAGAAGAUUCAACCAGAAAAAAUCAAAACAAAACAAAUUGCAUCAAUAGAAUGCAUUCAUAUAGCUUGUGUGUCUGAAUAUUCCAGAUGCAUUUAGUCAUUUAUACAAAAAUUAUGCAUGCAUCUGUGGUCAGUGAAUGAGGUACAAUGGAAUUUGCAAAAACAGUAAUAGUCAAUAAUUAAUAUAUAUUACUUAUCAUUAUAAUUUGUUCAUAUUUUUCAAACAGGCAAACUAAGGCUCAGAGAGAUUAAGUGAUUAAGGGCAACACAGGAACUUAAUGGCAGAACUACAACUACAACUACAACAUGUAAAUAACACGGUAGAAAUAACUGAGGCCCUUGAACUGAAAUUUAUUGAAGCCUGGGGAGAUGUUAGACAAGGAAGUCUUGAUGAAAGAGGCAUCUUGAGUUGACCUUGCAGUGAACAGACUAGAAGGAGAUCAGAGAGAAUUCCAGCAUACAGAUAACUGAGGAGGGCAUGGUGCAAGCAUUGAAAGAGAAGAUGCUUGAGUGUGACCAGAUAACUGUCAGAGAAGACCUGGGGCCAGUUUUCUUAGUGCUCCUCCUACACCUAGAAAAUUGGAGAUGACUAAAACUCACCCUUUUUUCCACAACCUUCUGCUUUGAGUUGCUCAGGGAAUAAUUAAAAGGAAAAACAAGGCAACUGACAAAUGAAACUGUUUUGGUUUAAAAUAACAACACUUCAAGAGGAACUUUGCAUUAACAUGCAUGUCUUUCAAGAGGAAAAAAACAAUCACAUCUAGUAAUUUUCUUAUCUUGUUGCUGCUUGACAAAAUCUGUACUAAAAUCUAUUAAAAAAAGAAAGAAAGAAAGAAAGUAAGUAAGUAAGAAAAGAAAAGAAAAAAAUAGAGGAAGAAAACCUGAGCACUUGCCUGGAACCAAAAAGCUCUAACCGUGAGCAGCAGCGAAGCCCCUCAUCUUUUUGCUUGUUUCCAGGUGCCUCACCCUGGGUUUUCUGGGGCCCCUACAGAUGGCUGGCAGGCCCCGCCCCGCGACCUUCUGACUUCGGGGCCCCCUCCCAGCGCCCCGGACCCGAGCGCUCCACCCCAUUCAUUCUGCUUGACCUGGGAGCCCCGGGUGAAGCUUCGCUCCUGGAAUUCAACCUCGGACCCCGUCAUUGUCCUGCUCGCCUGACCUCUGCUACGCUCAGUUCCAACAAGGUGAUCUGGAGAAAAACGCCACUCGCUCCCUGGCGAGCUUCCCUGACUCGUCUUUUCGCGCUCUCGCCGGCGGUUCUUUUCUCCGGGGCGGACCACCAAGCGCUCGCCUUUGGAUGGCCAAUUCAUAGCGCCGUCAGGGGCUCGCCCAUUGUGCCCGGGCGCCGCGCCUGACCCCGCCGGCAGCUGCGUGUAGCCCGAUUGUUCCCUCAUUAGGGCGGCGAAGAGCGGCUGAAAGGCAGACGGCCCUUUCCCACAAUUGCUGACAAUGUGCGGCCGCAGAUUUGUAACAAUCCCGGGCGAGGAGAAAUGGAGAGGAUGUGGCUCCAAAUGGGCUCCAGGGAUUUUGCAUUCCCACGCGAGGAGGGGGGAAAAUCCGAAUUAAAAACACCCCCUUCCCCUAAAGCCCCCUCCCAAGCCCCCGAUCCUUCACCGUCUGUAGUGGUUUUAACCAGGGUUUUGGUGGUGGCUGCCAACACCCACGGGAAGUAUCUGGGCGGGAGAAAUGAUAAAGAGUUGCAAAGAACUAGAGGAGAGCGGCUGAGCCUGGGCACGUUAGGGUCUUUUGGCGCAAUGGCAAGAAUUGCCAAGAAGUAAACACAAGGCUGAACUCUGCCCUGCGAGGAGCGGGUACCGGCCACGAGUAGAAAAGCUCUAGCAGGAUGGAGCAGUUGCACUGCAGGCUGAGCUGCACUUGCAAAAGCUUCUUUUAGAAUUAGGAGGCAUCUGCCUUGGGCAGCAAUCCCCUUUCGAGCCUUGCUUCUAGAUCCAGUUGAUUUUUUAAAAAAAUUUACUGUAAUGCUGUUUGCCCCAAGAAGGUGUGUGUUCUGCAGCUCUUUCCCAGUGAAAAUGUCUGCUGGAGAGGUGAGGGUACAUCAACUCCAGACUUUCACACUCUCACUUUUCCUCCUGGGCAGGAAAGUGAGAAAACUGAGCCCAAACAGCCAUUCUCUGCCCCCCUCCUCUUUGGGCCAGUUCCAUUGAAAGGGCCUUCUCUAAAACUGCAAAUAAAGGGCCCCGCUUCAGAGAAACCGGGCAAGGGCUCAAGGGGAAAGGGACAAAAAAGGACUAUCUCUGUCCUCCGCUCUUAGAUGCAUACAAAAGGCUAUGUUCAGAUUCUUAGGUCUGUGAAAUGCUAUUUGAGCUGAAACACAAUACCCGUCUCACAGCGCCGACAUGGAAAGUGAUUUUCGGCAGCGAUAUCCUAGGGUAAUUCUCUUUAUUUUAUAAACAACAUUAACUCAUCUUAUGAGAUGAUGCAAAAACAUUUAAAAGUUUUCUUUUGCAGUUUUGAAAAAGUGAAUUCUAGUGCUAAGACAGCGUCUCUGCCUCAGGAAGCCACCACAUUUAUCAGCAGGUGAUUUAAAAUUGUGCACUCAAAGAAAAACUUAGUUCAAGAAGUUUAAGGGAUCGUAGACACAGGCUUUUCGUUUCAAAAGUCUUCCCCCAAACAGUGUUUUUGAGUUGCAAAAAUGUGUUUAUUCCUUUAGUAGAAUAUAAGGUUAGAAUUGAAGGGAAAAAAAAAUUCUCUCCCUAGAUGUGUCUGUCUAAAAUAUACAUUCAAGGAUAUCAGUUUUCUCUAUUUCAAUUAAAUAAUUCUAAGUGCUGUAGAAUUUAAAAUUGUUCUUGAAGCAGAACUAAAGAUAUUUUUAUGAUCACUACCAUUUUAGAUUAAGCUUCUUAAAAAAGAUCAAAUCUCAUCUCUGGGGUGCAUCUUGUUUUGUGACUUUUGUCUAAGCUACUAAAGCCGUCUUGACAAGGUAUAAAGGGCUUUAGGUUCUUGUUUUUAAUAUUAUAACAAGAAGUGGGGGCAUAAUGGUAAGGCAAUUUAUGUUAGCCUAGAAAAACCAUUGCAAAGAUUAACUUAGCUGGGGUGGUUUUCUGUCUCCUUGUUAGCAGAUGGUUUUCUAUUGAAUCUUAAGCUUGAAUUCAAAUGUGUAAAGUUUUUCUUUAAAAAAAAGUCAGUAGUUUCAAUUUGGGGUACAUUAUGCAUAUAUAUUCCUGAAGUUUGUGAUGGCUGGUUUGUGGUGGUGGGAGUGUUUCUUCCAAUUUUUAGUUUUCUCUGAGUCUGUUAAAUUUCACCAUUCUUCUAGUUUUGAGCUAGUAAAUCUGCGCUUGAUCUGGACCCAAACAUAUUUUGAUCGUAAAUAAAAAGUCUUCUUUUA